UUUUUUUCAUUCUGCUCUACUCUGUGGAGUUUACUUGUUCUCCCCCUGCUUGUGUAGGCUCCCUCCCACUUUCCAAAAACAUGCAUGUUUGGUUCAGUGGAGAUUCUAAUGGACCAUGGGUGUGAAUGUGAGUGACAAUGGGUGUUUCUCUAUAUGUGCCUUGCAAUUGUCUGAGGCAUAUGCUCGCAAGUUAAAUGCCUCUCAGGUCAUGCAAUUUCUGACAAUAAGUUGACUGGAACUGAGACUCCCAAAAAGCAGGUCUAAGUGGUGGCACAGAUAAUGUAACAGAAUUUUGGUGGAUUUGAGCGAGGCGCAGGCAGACAGAUUCGGCACUACGUGGACAUGUGUGCUGGAUGUCAUCGUAUCUCAUUCGUAAACAUGACAACAGCGUGGGACAAUUACUCUGAAUUGUUGCUCAACAAGGGGUGAGAGUGGAACACAAAAGCAAAUACCGUGCAACCUCAUUUUAAAAACAAAAAUUCCCAUUCAAAUUAAUGUAAACUGAGUUAAUUCCAUUUGGCUGGCAAGCAGUCUAGGGUCACCUGGGAUAGCUUCCACCUCACUUGUUGUUAGUUUGUGACACACACACACACACACACACACACACACA
Long non-coding RNA from Hippocampus comes (tiger tail seahorse), 610 nucleotides. RefSeq lists it as uncharacterized. The transcript is spliced from 2 exons. The record is from RefSeq and is a predicted model, not a curated record. Lineage: Eukaryota; Metazoa; Chordata; Actinopteri; Syngnathiformes; Syngnathidae.